GAAAAACUUUCAACUGCAGUUCUGCCUUUGUAGCAGAGCUAUGUUAAAAAGUUUUGGCGCAGUUGCACAAAACCUCCUAUUGCAUUAUUCAGUCUCAUUCUGUUUUAUGUUGUUUGGAUACUCAGGACUGUUUUCCUCCAAUAAAGCAAUGUCUCAUUGUUAUAGCAGUUCUGCAGUGAUCCUACAGGGUGCAAGGAAUAGGACUUCUGAAAGCUGGCCUAAGAGAUGCUUAGGAAUUCAUUCUACCCUUACUUCUUGUUCACACUGGUAACUUGCUCUUUUCCAUGCUCCACCAUAAUUUGCUAAUGACUGUUCUGACAUUCAGGAUGAGCUUAAUGUUCAAUACGGCCUCCUAGUUGUGCAUGAGUUGCUGGAAAUCAGUGGGAUGACAGGUAGGUGAAAGGAACCAACACAGUACCCUUAUCCAUGGAAAAGUUAUUAACAUUUUUAUGAUCUGGAAUACUGAACCAGAGUAAAGCAUGAGAUGAGGAGGGGGUGUCACCCUCUAUAUGAGCAACUGGAGUGCAUGGAGCUCUGCCUGGGGAUGGAUGAGGAGCUGACGGAGAGCUUAUUGGUCAGGAUUAAAGUGAGGGCAGUGACAGGGGACAUGAGAGUGGGGGUCUGCUCCAGGCCACCUGAUCAGAAAGACCAAAUAGAUUUGGCCCUCUACAGACAAAUAGAAGCAGCCUCAUGUUAAGAAGUCCUGAUCCUCGUGAGGCACUUCAACCAUACUGAUAUUUUUGGAGGGACAGCAGGGCACAGUUUCCUGAAAUGCAUUAAUGAUAACUUCCUUAUAUACGUGAUACAGAAACAAAUAAGAGAUGAUGUGCUGGACCAUGUUGUCACAAACAAGGAGGGGCUGAAGGGGAAUGUGAAACUCAAGGGCAGCCUUGAGCCUUUAGGAUCCUGAGGGCAGUGAGGAAGUAGCACAGCAAGCUCACUAACCUGGACUACAGGAGAGCAGACUUUGUCCUCUUCACAGACCUGCCAUGGUCACAGCCAUCACUUACAGUGCCAUGGUACAAAGUCCUGGAGGGAAGAAGAGUCUAAGAAAGCUCGUUAAUAUUCAAGGAUCACCUCCUCCAAACUUAAGAGCAAUGUAUUCCAGCAAAGAAGAAGUCAGGCAAAAAUGUCGAGACCAGCAUGGAUGAACAAGUAAUACUUGGACAAUAAUAAAAUAUCAAUAUCAUUAAUAAUAAAAGGAAGA
Molecule: long non-coding RNA, 1207 nt
Filed under: Anas platyrhynchos platyrhynchos (common mallard)
Lineage: Eukaryota; Metazoa; Chordata; Aves; Anseriformes; Anatidae
Description: lncRNA (ENSAPLG00000023530.1)
Source: RNAcentral